Long non-coding RNA from Eleginops maclovinus (Patagonian blennie), 755 nucleotides. RefSeq lists it as uncharacterized. The transcript has 4 exons. Lineage: Eukaryota; Metazoa; Chordata; Actinopteri; Perciformes; Eleginopidae. The record is from RefSeq and is a predicted model, not a curated record.
UCACGUACCACUAUGUUCAGUAGUUCAGAAGUAAACUCAUUCAGGUCAAGCGCAUUUCAGCUAUCUAUUUUAGUUGUAAAUGCGUUGCAUUCCAGAACAAUCUGACGACGUCUUAUGUCUGUCAUAGCAUCGUUGGUCAUCACAACUCACCUGCUGCAGCUGCAAGUACACCUUCAUCUGAUCAUCACAGCAAGAUGGCAUCAGUUGUCUACUGCAUCGUGCUCCUCUGCUUGACUAUUGGACUGUGGAUGGAGGCAGAUGCAACAUAACAUCACUGGGUGGAAAUGAACAAUAUUUCCCAUUUGCUUUGACGGUUCUCAAAUAAUGAGAAAUCGAUUAAAUGACAGUACCAUCCCCAGUUUACGAAACAUGUAGAAGACGUGGAAUAAAGAAGCACUGUGCUUUUAGUUGUGCUUUAAUUGAUUGGAUUGCUGGUCAGCUUUAGUAUCACAGUACAGAGAGAGAAAUACAUGUUCCGGACAGACUGGUGUUAAACCGAAAUAUUGCUUAGCAGGGUGAAUCAGUUUAUUGAUUAAAUAUUAAAUCGAAUAAAUCUCCAAAACAGUGAUGUCAUCGAUGCCGGACAUCCUGGUAGAAGUGGCAUCCAGACUGAAGAUGUGACAUCAUCAUUCCAUAGAGUAGGAACAGACAUAAGGUUGACUGUCGAGACAACCUACGUCGUUGACCUGUGAACCUUUAAAAAACAUCAAAAUUCAACGUGAUAUAUUUCAAUGAUGAAUAAAAAAAACAACACA